GUUGACCUCGGAUCANGUAGGACUACCCGCUGAACUUAAGCAUAUUAAUNAGCGAG
This 56-nucleotide ribosomal RNA is filed under the name Cordyceps tenuipes. RNAcentral's name for it is "partial 28S ribosomal RNA". Lineage: Eukaryota; Fungi; Ascomycota; Sordariomycetes; Hypocreales; Cordycipitaceae. The record is from RNAcentral.